GCCCAAGUGUGGCUCGACCAACCCUUAUGCACCCAUGGGUAGGUUUUUAACUAAUUAUUUUAUCAAAUAAUUUCUGACAUUCAAUUUUACCCUAAACACCUCUUCAGAAGGAGUGUGGCGCCUCCACUAAAAAUUUUGCUUAGGUCCAAAUAUUAACAUGCCAGAAUUUAGUGCAUCUAACAAACGAGUGAUUAGGCUCAAGUGUGGCUCGACCAACCUGACCAUCAUCAGAAAGAUAUGAGUAAAUUAAUAUAUUGUGAAUGAUAAUUCUA
Molecule: long non-coding RNA, 272 nt
Filed under: Elaeis guineensis (African oil palm)
Lineage: Eukaryota; Viridiplantae; Streptophyta; Magnoliopsida; Arecales; Arecaceae
Description: long non-coding RNA (EGUI_LNC059351)
Source: RNAcentral